AGCAAGGGAUGAGAGACUGGAAGCGUGGUUUCCAACAGGAGAUUGAAGGCCAAGUUUUGAGACUUGCUUGGAGUGGAGAUGGGAUGGCCUGAUAAAGAUGUGAUCUUUUUCCUCCAUCAGGGCUGAGAUUAAAGGCCUGUGCCACCAUACCCAGCUUCAAUGAUGUUUUGCCUGGUG
Molecule: long non-coding RNA, 177 nt
Organism: Jaculus jaculus (lesser Egyptian jerboa)
Lineage: Eukaryota; Metazoa; Chordata; Mammalia; Rodentia; Dipodidae
Exons: 3
Source: RefSeq, a predicted model, not a curated record